GCCGGGCGUGGUGGCGCACGCCUGUAAUCCCAGCACUCGGGAGGCUGAGACAGGAGGAUCGUUGUGAGUUCGAGGCCAGCCUGGGCUACGAAGUGAGCUUAAGGCCAGCCUGAAUUGCAUAGUGAAACCCUGUCUCAAAAAAGACAAGGAAAAAAAAAAAAAAAAUGAAUUUACUAUGUAGCCCAGGCUGGCCUCAAACUCACAGCGAUCCUGUUGCCUCAGU
RNAcentral lists this small RNA (223 nucleotides) under Chinchilla lanigera (long-tailed chinchilla). RNAcentral's name for it is "Metazoan signal recognition particle RNA (ENSCLAG00000021433.1)". The record is from RNAcentral. Lineage: Eukaryota; Metazoa; Chordata; Mammalia; Rodentia; Chinchillidae.